AGUGGGGAAUAUUGGACAAUGGGCGAAAGCCUGAUCCAGCAAUGCCAUGUGUGUGAAGAAGGCUCUAGGGUUGUAAAGCACUUUAGUUGGGGAGGAAAGCUUAUGAGUUAAUAGCUCAUAAGAAGGACGUUACCCAAAGAAUAAGGACCGGCUAACUCCGUGCCAGCAGCCGCGGUAAUACGGGGGGUCCGAGCGUUAAUCGGAAUUACUGGGCGUAAAGGGUCUGUAGGUGGUUUGUUAAGUCAGAUGUGAAAGCCCAGGGCUCAACCUUGGAACUGCAUUUGAUACUGGCAAACUAGAGUAUGGUAGAGGAAUGGGGAAUUUCUGGUGUAGCGGUGAAAUGCGUAGAGAUCAGAAGGAACACCAAUGGCGAAGGCAACAUUCUGGACCAAUACUGACACUGAGGGACGAAAGCGUGGGGAUCAAA
Molecule: ribosomal RNA, 427 nt
Filed under: uncultured Francisella sp.
Lineage: Bacteria; Pseudomonadati; Pseudomonadota; Gammaproteobacteria; Thiotrichales; Francisellaceae
Description: bacterial SSU rRNA
Rfam family: Bacterial small subunit ribosomal RNA
Source: RNAcentral